GUUGACCUUUAAGCAACUUUCUACAUUCAAAGAAAUCCUUCACCAACUG
Molecule: non-coding RNA, 49 nt
Filed under: Dictyostelium discoideum AX4
Lineage: Eukaryota; Evosea; Eumycetozoa; Dictyosteliales; Dictyosteliaceae
Source: RNAcentral